GAGGAAUCUUGCGCAAUGGCGAAAGCCUGACGCAGCAACGCCGCGUGGGGGAAGAAGGCUUUCGAGUCGUAAACCCCUUUUGCAGGGGAAGAAGAUCUGACGGUACCCUGCGAAUAAGCCACGGCUAACUACGUGCCAGCAGCCGCGGUAAUACGUAGGUGGCAAGCGUUGUCCGGAUUUAUUGGGCGUAAAGGGCGCGUAGGCGGUCCAUUAAGUUCGGGGUGAAAUCUCCCGGCUUAACUGGGAGACGUCCCCGGAUACUGAUGGACUAGAGGGGGGUAGAGGAAGGCGGAAUUCCCGGAGUAGCGGUGAAAUGCGUAGAUACCGGGAGGAACACCGGUGGCGAAGGCGGCCUUCU
RNAcentral lists this ribosomal RNA (358 nucleotides) under uncultured Chloroflexota bacterium. RNAcentral describes it as "bacterial SSU rRNA". It matches the Rfam family "Bacterial small subunit ribosomal RNA", at positions 356 to 730 of the family's 1533-position model. The record is from RNAcentral. Lineage: Bacteria; Bacillati; Chloroflexota.